This 314-nucleotide long non-coding RNA is filed under the name Trifolium pratense (red clover). Its description in RNAcentral is "long non-coding RNA (TPRA_LNC004564)". The record is from RNAcentral. Lineage: Eukaryota; Viridiplantae; Streptophyta; Magnoliopsida; Fabales; Fabaceae.
AUGAAGGUAGGGAGGAUCUUGUAGUGUGAAGAGUGGCCUGCACUUGCAGGGCCAUUUUGAUUUCUGGUUGAACUUUCUUCUACUCUGGUUGGUUCUGAGUCGAGGAAGUAAGAAGAAGAAGAAUGAAUGAAUGGAGGAGAUAAGAGAAUAGUUGAGUUGUGGAAAGUUCUGGUGAUUGAGUGUGUAAGGUGAGGGUCUCAUUGGUUUCAAUCCUACGUGGAAAGCGUGGCAUCCAUACUCCCCACACAUACAACUCUUUUUCCACUUUCAUAUUUUACAUCAUUUUUCUAAUUAUUAGUAUUUCUCACUUUCUU